GACGAACGCUGGCGGCGUGCUUAACACAUGCAAGUCGAACGGAAAGGCCCUGCUUUUGUGGGUUGCUCGAGUGGCGAACGGGUGAGUAACACGUGAGUAAACUGCCCCUGACUUUGGGAUAACUUCAGGAAACUGGGGCUCAUACCGGAUAGGAGCUCCUGCUGCAUGGUGGGGAUUGGAAAGUUUCGGCGGUUGGGGAUGGACUCGCGGCUUAUCAGCUUGUUUGUGGGGUAGUGGCUUACCAAGGCUUUGACGGGUAGCCGGCCUGAGAGGGUGACCGGCGACAUUGGGACUGAGAGACGGACCAGACGCCAACGGGAGGCAGCAGUGGGGAAUAUUGCACAGUGGGGGGAAGCCUGAUGCAGCAACGCUGCGUGCGGGAUGACGGCCUUCGGGUUGUAAACCGCUUUGGCAUGUGACGAAGCGUGAGUGACGGUAAUGGGUAAAGAAGCACCGGCUAACUACGUG
RNAcentral lists this ribosomal RNA (468 nucleotides) under uncultured bacterium. RNAcentral's name for it is "partial 16S ribosomal RNA". It matches the Rfam family "Bacterial small subunit ribosomal RNA", at positions 28 to 507 of the family's 1533-position model. The record is from RNAcentral.